RNAcentral lists this ribosomal RNA (493 nucleotides) under uncultured bacterium. RNAcentral's name for it is "bacterial SSU rRNA". It matches the Rfam family "Bacterial small subunit ribosomal RNA", at positions 903 to 1397 of the family's 1533-position model. The record is from RNAcentral.
AAAUGAAUUGACGGGGACCCGCACAAGCGGUGGAGCAUGUGGUUUAAUUCGAAGCAACGCGAAGAACCUUACCAGAUCUUGACAUCCUCUGACAACCCAGGAAACUGGGCGUUCCCUUCGGGGACAGAGUGACAGGUGGUGCAUGGUUGUCGUCAGCUCGUGUCGUGAGAUGUUGGGUUAAGUCCCGUAACGAGCGCAACCCUUAUUGUUAGUUGCCAGCAUUCAGUUGGGCACUCUAGCGAGACUGCCGGUGAUAAACCGGAGGAAGGCGGGGAUGACGUCAAAUCAUCAUGCCCCUUAUGAUCUGGGCUACACACGUGCUACAAUGGAUGGUACAACGAGUUGCGAGACCGCGAGGUUCAGCUAAUCUCCUAAAGCCAUUCUCAGUUCGGAUUGCAGGCUGCAACUCGCCUGCAUGAAGCUGGAAUCGCUAGUAAUCGCGAAUCAGAACGUCGCGGUGAAUACGUUCCCGGGUCUUGUACACACCGCCCGU